RNAcentral lists this transfer RNA (73 nucleotides) under Phyllodytes wuchereri. RNAcentral's name for it is "tRNA-Leu". It matches the Rfam family "tRNA". Rfam says of the family: Transfer RNA (tRNA) molecules are approximately 80 nucleotides in length. Lineage: Eukaryota; Metazoa; Chordata; Amphibia; Anura; Hylidae. The record is from RNAcentral.
AUUAGCGUAGCAAAGCCCGGUAUUGCAAAAGAUCUAAACCCUUUAUACAGAGAUUCAAUUUCUCUCGCUAAUC